GAUGAACGCUAGCUACAGGCUUAACACAUGCAAGUCGAGGGGGAACGACAUCGAAAGCUUGCUUUUGAUGGGCGUCGACCGGCGCACGGGUGAGUAACGCGUAUCCAACCUGCCCAUCACUUGGGGAUAACCUUGCGAAAGUAAGACUAAUACCCAAUGAUAUCUCUAGAAGACAUCUGAAAGAGAUUAAAGAUUUAUCGGUGAUGGAUGGGGAUGCGUCUGAUUAGCUUGUUGGCGGGGUAACGGCCCACCAAGGCAACGAUCAGUAGGGGUUCUGAGAGGAAGGUCCCCCACAUUGGAACUGAGACACGGUCCAAACUCCUACGGGAGGCAGCAGUGAGGAAUAUUGGUCAAUGGGCGAGAGCCUGAACCAGCCAAGUAGCGUGCAGGAAGACGGCCCUAUGGGUUGUAAACUGCUUUUAUAAGGGAAUAAAGUGAGAGUCGUGACUCUUUUUGUAUGUACCUUAUGAAUAAGGACCGGCUAAUUCCGUG
RNAcentral lists this ribosomal RNA (492 nucleotides) under uncultured bacterium. RNAcentral's name for it is "partial 16S ribosomal RNA". It matches the Rfam family "Bacterial small subunit ribosomal RNA", at positions 28 to 507 of the family's 1533-position model. The record is from RNAcentral.